UACGUAGGGAGCAAGCGUUAUCCGGAUUUAUUGGGUGUAAAGGGUGCGUAGACGGGAAAUCAAGUUGGUUGUGAAAUCCCUCGGCUUAACUGAGGAACUGCAACCAAAACUAAUUUUCUUGAGUGCUGGAGAGGAAAGUGGAAUUCCUAGUGUAGCGGUGAAAUGCGUAGAUAUUAGGAGGAACACCAGUGGCGAAGGCGACUUUCUGGACAGUAACUGACGUUGAGGCACGAAAGUGUGGGGAGCAAACAGG
RNAcentral lists this ribosomal RNA (253 nucleotides) under uncultured bacterium. Its description in RNAcentral is "partial 16S ribosomal RNA". It matches the Rfam family "Bacterial small subunit ribosomal RNA", at positions 524 to 776 of the family's 1533-position model. The record is from RNAcentral.